AGCUCCAAUAGCGUAUAUUAAAGUUGUUGCGGUUAAAAGCUCGUAGUUGGAUUUCUGUUGAGGAAGGUCGGUCUGCACUUUGUGCAUGAUCUGAUUCUGCCUCGGCAUCCUCGCGGGGAACAUGCUGCGCUUGAUUGCGUGGUAUGGUAUUCGCGACUUUUACUUUGAGGAAAUUAGAGUGUUCACGGCAGGCAAUCGCCUUGAAUACAUUAGCAUGGAAUAAUAAUAUAGGACUUUGGUUCUAUUUUGUUGGUUUCUAGAACUAAAGUAAUGAUUAAGAGGGACGAUUGGGGGCAUUUGUACUAAGACGUCAGAGGUGAAAUUCUUAGAUUGUCUUAUGACAAACUACUGCGAAAGCAUUUGCCAAGGAUGUUUUCA
Molecule: ribosomal RNA, 378 nt
Filed under: uncultured eukaryote
Lineage: Eukaryota
Description: SSU rRNA
Rfam family: Eukaryotic small subunit ribosomal RNA
Source: RNAcentral